GCGAACGACUGGGCAGGAGGGGCGGGAAAGGGUAGGAGUCGAGGGGGUUCCUGAAUCAUGGGGCGUACAGGGCGCGCAGGCGGCCCGGCAAGGCGGGUGUGAAAUCCCGGGGCUCAACCCCUGGACGGCAUUCGAUACUGUCGGGCUAGAGGUAGGUAGGGGAGAUCGGAAUUCCGGGUGUAGCGGUGAAAUGCGCAGAUAUCAGGAGGAACACCGGUGGCGAAGGCGGAUCUCUGGGCCUUACCUGACGCUCAGGCGCGAAAGCUAGGGGAGCGAACAGGAUUAGAUACCCGGGUCGUC
This 300-nucleotide ribosomal RNA is filed under the name uncultured Spirochaeta sp. RNAcentral's name for it is "bacterial SSU rRNA". It matches the Rfam family "Bacterial small subunit ribosomal RNA", at positions 496 to 795 of the family's 1533-position model. Lineage: Bacteria; Pseudomonadati; Spirochaetota; Spirochaetia; Spirochaetales; Spirochaetaceae. The record is from RNAcentral.